CCUACGGGCGGCUGCAGUGAGGAAUAUUGGUCAAUGGGAGGAAUCCUGAACCAGCCAUGCCGCGUGCAUGACGACGGCUCUACGAGUUGUAAACUGCUUUUGUACCGGGGUAAAAUGCCUUACGUGUAGUGUUUUGAAAGUACGGUACGAAUAAGGAUCGGCUAACUCCGUGCCAGCAGCCGCGGUAAUACGGAGGAUACGAGCGUUAUCCGGAUUCAGUGGGUGUAAGGGGUGCGUAGGUUGUUUUAUAAGUUAGCGGUGAAAGACCGAUGCUCAACAUCGGGGCUGCAGCUAAUACUGUAGGACUAGAGAGCGGAUGCAGCAGGCGGAAUGUGUAGUGUAGCGGUGAAAUGCAUAGAUAUUACACAGAACACCGAUUGCGAAGGCAGCUUGCUAGGCCGGAUCUGACACUGAGGCACGAAAGCGUGGGGAUCGAACAGGAUUAGAUACCCUUGUAGUC
Molecule: ribosomal RNA, 460 nt
Filed under: uncultured bacterium
Lineage: Bacteria
Description: partial 16S ribosomal RNA
Rfam family: Bacterial small subunit ribosomal RNA
Source: RNAcentral